AUUGAACGCUGGCGGCAGGCCUAACACAUGCAAGUCGAACGAGUGGCGGACGGGUGAGUAAUGUCUGGGAAACUGCCUGAUGGAGGGGGAUAACUACUGGAAACGGUAGCUAAUCCCGCAUACCAUCGGAUGUGCCCAGAUGGGAUUAGCUAGUAGGUGGGGUAACGGCUCACCUAGGCGACGAUCCCUAGCUGGUCUGAGAGGAUGACCAGCCACACUGGACCUUAUACACGGUCCAGACUCCUACGGUAGGCAGCAGUGGGGAAGAUUGCACAAGGGGCGCAAGCCUGAUGCAGCCAGGCCGCGUGUAUGAAGAAGGCCUUCGGGUUGUAAAGUACUUUCAGCGGGGAGGCGUUACCCGCAGAAGAAGCACCGGCUAACUCCGUGCCAGCCGCCGCGGUAAUAC
This 406-nucleotide ribosomal RNA is filed under the name uncultured bacterium. Its description in RNAcentral is "partial 16S ribosomal RNA". It matches the Rfam family "Bacterial small subunit ribosomal RNA", at positions 30 to 526 of the family's 1533-position model. The record is from RNAcentral.